This 182-nucleotide non-coding RNA is filed under the name bacterium. RNAcentral's name for it is "6S RNA". It matches the Rfam family "6S / SsrS RNA". Rfam says of the family: E. coli 6S RNA was the first non coding RNA to be sequenced, but its function was unknown until recently. It consists of 184 nucleotides that fold into an extended hairpin structure with a large single-stranded internal bulge. The record is from RNAcentral.
GAUUUCCUGGGGUGUUCGAUAAUUCUUGUAUUUUGAACCUACAUUUACUUUAAACGGGAUUCCUAUAUUACCGUCUCCUAUGUCAGGCCUCAUUUGCAGUGGAAGGCAGAAGAGCGGCUGCGGUCACCCACCUAGCAUUAGCUAGGAGUCAAAAAACAAGAACCGGCAUCUCUGGGAUAUUC